CUGACUGUGUGGCUCGCAUUGGAGCGCCCGCGUCUGUCACUCCGGCCCUCGCCUGCACGGUAACGCGCACGGUGGGAGCUCUGAUCACCCGCCACCUGGAUGGGUGCCCCAGGGGCGACAGCUACCCCGGGGGAAAGGCCUGAGAGCGGUGUGGCCGGGGUCGUGGGAGCCCCGCACCUCUGGCGUCGAGGUGAAGGAUAGCUCCGGCGACGGACUGGUCUGUCCAGAAAAUAGUUGAAGAAUACAUCCUUCAAAUGGAUUUAACUGCAGGAGACAGAGAAAAUUCUUCACAGGGACUUUAAUCUACAUGUGUAUUCCAACAAGAUGAUUCAGUUGACUACUAUAGAGCAUGAGAACAUGGCUCAAGAAGACACCAGGCAAGGAGACUGUGAGGCACAUGCAGCAGGCCUGAAGCAGAGCUACCCAGUUGACUUGCAGACCCAUGAACAAGAAAAUCAACAUUUACUAUGGUAAGCCACUGAAACUUUGAGUUUGUUGUCAUUUUAAUAAAUACAUUUUUUAAUUGAUUUCAGAGAUGAAGGGGGAGAGAGAGAGA
Myotis brandtii (Brandt's bat) is the source of this 556-nucleotide long non-coding RNA. RefSeq lists it as uncharacterized. NCBI's taxonomy places the organism in Eukaryota, Metazoa, Chordata, Mammalia, Chiroptera, Vespertilionidae. The transcript has 3 exons. The record is from RefSeq and is a predicted model, not a curated record.